RNAcentral lists this transfer RNA (25 nucleotides) under Ovibos moschatus (muskox). Its description in RNAcentral is "partial tRNA-Thr". The record is from RNAcentral. Lineage: Eukaryota; Metazoa; Chordata; Mammalia; Artiodactyla; Bovidae.
AGAACAACCAGCCUCCCCAAGACUU